RNAcentral lists this ribosomal RNA (253 nucleotides) under uncultured bacterium. Its description in RNAcentral is "partial 16S ribosomal RNA". It matches the Rfam family "Bacterial small subunit ribosomal RNA", at positions 524 to 776 of the family's 1533-position model. The record is from RNAcentral.
UACGUAGGGUCCAAGCGUUGUCCGGAUUUACUGGGCGUAAAGCGUGCGCAGGCGGCUUUGCAAGACAGAUGUGAAAUCCCCGGACUCAACCUGGGAACUGCAUUUGUGACUGCAAGGCUAGAGUACGGUAGAGGGGGAUGGAAUUCCGCGUGUAGCAGUGAAAUGCGUAGAUAUGCGGAGGAACACCGAUGGCGAAGGCAAUCCCCUGGACCUGUACUGACGCUCAUGCACGAAAGCGUGGGGAGCAAACAGG